RNAcentral lists this ribosomal RNA (253 nucleotides) under uncultured bacterium. RNAcentral describes it as "partial 16S ribosomal RNA". It matches the Rfam family "Bacterial small subunit ribosomal RNA", at positions 524 to 776 of the family's 1533-position model. The record is from RNAcentral.
UACGUCGGGCGCAAGCGUUGUCCGGAAUUAUUGGGCGUAAAGAGCUCGUAGGCGGUUUGUCGCGUCUGCUGUGAAAACCUAAGGCUCAACCUUGGGCUUGCAGUGGGUACGGGCAGACUAGAGUGCGGUAGGGGUGACUGGAAUUCCUGGUGUAGCGGUGGAAUGCGCAGAUAUCAGGAGGAACACCGAUGGCGAAGGCAGGUCACUGGGCCGCAACUGACGCUGAGGAGCGAAAGCAUGGGGAGCGAACAGG